Long non-coding RNA from Vicia villosa (hairy vetch), 531 nucleotides. RefSeq lists it as uncharacterized. The transcript has 3 exons. NCBI's taxonomy places the organism in Eukaryota, Viridiplantae, Streptophyta, Magnoliopsida, Fabales, Fabaceae. The record is from RefSeq and is a predicted model, not a curated record.
AUCAAUUCCUUCCGCUUAUUCAAUGUAUCUUUCUCAAUACUUUCAACCGUCCAUUCAUUCCGCCCAAUGUUCUUUAACGCUUCUGCUUCUAUGGGUUUCACAAUUCAAUCCCUUUAAUGUGCAAAGGGAAGAAAUAUUUGGAUCCUUCUCAUAUGACACUUCUAUUUUUUGGUGGAGAGGUUGAGAAACAUUUAUGAAUGUUGCUUUUGGAUGGAUCAAUGUGAAGGAUGUUGCAAACGCGUAUAUUCUGGCAAAUGGACAUGCUUUGGAUAAUGGAAGAUAUUGUUUGGUUGAAAGAGUGAUACAUUUCUCUAAACUGAAAUUGAUGGAAACAAAUAUGGGAAUGCUCUUAUAUGACAGGAUAAUAUCUUAGCUGGUGUUCUUAUCGAUGAAAAGAAAGAUAUUAUCUUAGCUAUUACAACUUACAAGUGUUCUCUCUAAGGAAUUUUCAGAAUAUUUAUAUAUUGACAUGGAAUUUUCUUCAUUGAGUUUGAUGAUUCAUAGCUUUUAGGCUACAAUAUGUGCCUUAUU